UUUUAAUUUGCGGGCAUACGGGAGUUUUUUUUGUCGCGCGAAAUAUCGAAAAUACGGCGUUCCUUCGCCUAUAGUGGUGGGCGAAAUAAGUCCGGCGUGUGUUUCCCGGCGAUAUUAGGCCGAAGAGAUCGGCGUUUGUCACGGCCAUCUCACCGCCGUUUUGCCGCCAAAUCCUAGCUUCGACUGGGUCAAAUUGCAGCCGAAAUCGAAGGCCGGAGGGUUUUCGCUGGACAUCUUAUACGUUCGCAUCACUGCCCGGGUCCCACGAUUUUACGGAGCCGCCACCGGCGGGCAGAAGGAGAGACGGCAACGGCGCCAGGCCGAGAAGUGGAGCGCCUUUCCAGCAAGCCGGAGCGAAGGACCAGCUGCAGCAGCAGGAAAGCGACCGCCCUAAGCCGGGACCACCAGGAGGGAUAUAUUAACUAAUCAAAAUGCAGCCUAAGUAGACAUUAAAGUGAGGUUAGAGUGAAUGGAAAAUUUUGUUUGCUUGAUUGGCAGUCCAGAAUGCCCGAAACUAAAUUAAAUCAAAGUUAAAUCGAUCAAAAUUUCUAAUUAUACGCAAAAAAAAUGCUGAAAGUCAGACCUAACCUUACUAGAGAGUAUUAAUCCAACCGGAUCGCCAUCCUGAACAUAGAGUGGCAGAAAUUAAAAUUUUUUUUCUAUGUAGUUUAAGUUUAACGUUAAGCUAUAAGAAUAUGUACUCGAGUAGGAAACUCGGCCAUGCGGUUUAAUGAUUUUUCUUGGAUUUAAAUUGAAUUCUUAUUAGUGAUUAAAAUUUUUAUAUAGUAAGUGAUCUAACCUAAGCUAAUUAAAUUUUUUUUUUUUUUUAGAAGAGUUCCUGUCGCGGAUCGAAUAUUGUUAUCGAUAGGCUAGAUAGUAUUUUUGAGAAGUCCGAAUGUGGAAGGAUUUGUAAGCCCAUAUGUGCCUGGGCACAUUAUUUUUCGCCAUUGUAAAAAGAGCCGGGAAAAUUUAGCUUUCAUUGUCGUGUAAGAGUUGGAGGACACACUGCGAAUAAAACGUGUUCUACUACCACGGAUUAGUCUGCCCUUUCUUUCGGGAACCAAUGUGUGGGGUAGCCGUUUAAGGCAACUCCAAG
Molecule: long non-coding RNA, 1096 nt
Organism: Drosophila sechellia
Lineage: Eukaryota; Metazoa; Arthropoda; Insecta; Diptera; Drosophilidae
Exons: 3
Source: RefSeq, a predicted model, not a curated record